UUUUUUUUUUUUUUUUUUUUUUUUUUUACUUCCAUUCAGUGUCAGAAGAUAUAAAAGUAAUCAUUCUUUGGAUAAGAGACUUUCACAAGUUUAUAGGAGGCUGUGAGAGAGUCAGUGACCUUCCCAUGUAAUGUAGAAUAUAUAAGAAAAAGAAACACAUGAUUGGGCCUAAUCUAUCUUAAAAUAUGGUUCUAUGUGUGGAAAAUAAUUAAGCAGUGAUUUAAUUAUUUUGGCUCUCCUAAACUUCGGUGGGAAAUAAAUGAUGCAUUUUAUAAAUGUGAUCUAGAAGGUCCAAUGAAGAUGUAUUGGAUUGAAAAUUUUUAAUUAAAGCUUAAUUUUCUGUAGUCAGAUUUAUCAAUGCAAAUACAUUGAUAUUUUGCAGUCUCUUUCUGAUCGUAUUAUAACUUAACACCUAUGAUGGAAAAUAAUAUUGUAUCUUAAUUGGAACAGUAUUCUUGCUAUAUAUAUUCUUUAAAUUUUAAUUUUUUUAAUUUUUGUAGGUACAUUGUAGGUAUAUAGAUAUUCAUUUUUAGUAAAAUUUUCUAUAAAAACAUGAAAACUGAGAUGAAGACUUGUAAAUAUUGCAUAAUUUGUAGAGCAUUAAAUAUGUAAUAUUUACAACUAAUAUCUUCAGGUAAUAGUAACAGAUCACUAGUCAAACUGUAUAAUAUCUGCAAAUUUUAUUUUACUAAAAUGAAUCAGAAAAAUAUGAACCUAACAACAUAAUUCUUAUGUUAGCUUAUUUUUUCCACAUGUGUAAUUGGUUAUCCCUAUAACAAGGUUAAGUCCAUUGAAACUUCGCUAAUAAAUCCCUUUGGUAACCAUGUAAAAUAUUUUUAAAGUAGAUGUGUAAUUGAGUUUGGUGAGCAGUGUCAUUUGAUAAAACUAUCUGGGUCUUGUUAGCAUAACAUUUGAAAUAAUUAAAGCUAUUUGGUGAAUCUUGAUUGUUCUCCUUUGAUAAAGGAAAAUUAGUCCCCUGAUCAGUGUCAGUAGAUGUAAAGCAAUUUUGCUUUGGACCAGAGACUUUCAGAUAUUUAUAGGAGGUUGUGAGAGUGUCAGUGAGUUGACCAAGUUCUCACAGUUAGACAGUGUGGUUAGCAAAUACUAGAUCUCAGUCCAUUGCUUUGUCCACUUCAAUACACUGACUCAGCAUAGUUUACUGCCUCUAUUUAUGUCAUAAAGUAGUUUUUGUUGGUCUACUAUGUGUUAGUAUAAACAUACCCAAUUUCACUUCAAAUACAGUGAUUUCGUUAUACUUUUUGUAUUAAAAAUGACAAGAACAAAAGGUGGUAGGGAGGAAGAAAUGGAAGAAGGAAGGGGGAAUGGAAGAAAUAAAACUGGAAAACAACCUAAGUAAAUGAAAAGAAAGUUUAAAAUACAAAAUUGCUUAAAGUGUUAUGUUUUUACUUUUGUCUGUCUCCCCCAUACAUUUUAGAGUUAAAUGUUUUCCUCUUUUAAUUCAUUUCCUACUCCAAAAAGUCAUGUAAUCAUGAAAUAGGGCAAUAUUCUAAGUUAAACUUUAUAAAAGGUCGACAGUAGGAAGCAGAUUCUUGACCCACGAAUAUAUUUUGCAUCCAGUUUUAAAAUGUGUAAGCAUGAAAUUAACCUCAUCCAUACAAAAUCAAUUGAAAUCUACUGGGUAAUAUCCUCUAAUUAGCCUCACAAAUUAGUCACAUUUUCACAUUUUUAUUAUCAAAGCAUUAAAGGUAAACCAGUACUUUAUCUAUUCUCAAAAGAAUGCAACCAAUGAAAUGUCACUAUUUGGAGUCAAUUUAUUUAAUUUAAAAAUAAUAUUUCUUACAUUUUCUUGUUUGCUCUAAUAAUUUUAAAAUAAUAGAAUAAAUAAGUUUAUAAACCAUAUUUUAAAUAAUCUUUCUUCUAGCAUAGAUGUAGUAUCUUUCCAAUACACUUAUUUGUUUUUGUAAGUUCUUUUCCUCUACAGAUAGAAUGAUGUGAAAUAACUCUUCAUAUCAUAUCAGUAGUCUGUCUUUUCUGUACUAUAGUGUGUUACUUGUCCUUGAAAUUUUUCAUCUUGGUUUCCAUGAAUUCUUUAUUUUUCUAUAUCAAUAUUGUAAUGAUAAAUAAAUUUUCAAAGCUGCAGAAUGGAAAAAGGAGACUGAUGGAUUUGAAGCAAUUUUAAACCAAUCUGUAGCACUUGGAUUAUUUAUUUUCAAUUUAGGUUUUAGUGUGAUUUGAAUAUAGUGGUAAUUUAUCAUGAUUAUUAAGAUUCCAUAGUCCAGAUUAACAAAUGUUUACUUGCUGUCUGUGUAAACACAGUCGUUAUUAUGCUAGUGUAUCUGUGCAUGCCAAAGUAAUAUUUAACCAAGGAAAGCUUACAUUUUAAAACUAAUAAAGUGUAUCUGAGUAAUUUUGAAUGCUUUCAAUUUACAAUGAAUCAGUUUGUAAUUGAUCUUGCUUUUCUUCAGUCUGUUAUCCUUUGUUAACUUGUUAUAAAAUUCAGCUUUAAUGCCAAAACUUCAACAAAGCCUUAAAUUUCAUUAAUCCUUAAAUAAUCCAACAAAGCACAAUUAAUAGUUGUUAAGCAAUUUGAAACAUUAAAAAAUCAAGGAAAAC
Homo sapiens (human) is the source of this 2574-nucleotide long non-coding RNA. The record is from Ensembl. NCBI's taxonomy places the organism in Eukaryota, Metazoa, Chordata, Mammalia, Primates, Hominidae.